GACGAACCGUGCGAACGUUGUUCGGAAUCACUGGGCUUAAAGGGCGCGUAGGCGGGUCAGCAAGUCCGGGGUGAAAUCUUUCGGCUCAACCGGAAAAGUGCCUUGGAUACUGCUGGUCUUGAGGGAGGUAGGGGUUUGUGGAACUUCUGGUGGAGCGGUGAAAUGCGUUGAUAUCAGAAGGGACGCCGGUGGCGAAAGCGACGAACUGGACCUCUUCUGACGCUGAGGCGCGAAAGCUAGGGGAGCAAACGGG
Molecule: ribosomal RNA, 253 nt
Filed under: uncultured bacterium
Lineage: Bacteria
Description: partial 16S ribosomal RNA
Rfam family: Bacterial small subunit ribosomal RNA
Source: RNAcentral